Lamprotornis superbus is the source of this 74-nucleotide non-coding RNA. Lineage: Eukaryota; Metazoa; Chordata; Aves; Passeriformes; Sturnidae. The record is from the annotation of a GenBank genome assembly.
CUGAUAUUAGCUGAGUUGUUUAGAGCACGGUGCCAAUAUCACCAAGGUUGUGGGUUCAAACCCCAUUUAAGAGC